GAUGAACGCUGGCGGCGUGCCUAAUACAUGCAAGUCGAGCGAACGGACGAGAAUCGUGCUUCUCUGAUGUUAGCGGCGGACGGGUGAGUAACACGUGGAUAACCUACCUAUAAGACUGGGAUAACUUCGGGAAACCGGAUCUAAUACCGGAUAAUAUUUUGAACCGCAUGGUUCAAAAGUGAAAGACGGUCUUGCUGUCACUUAUCGAUUGAUCUGCGCUGCAUUAGCUAGUUGGUAAGGUAACGGCUUACCAAGGCGACGAUGCAUAACCGACCUGAGAGGGUGAUCAGCCACACUGGAACUGAGACACGGUCCAGACUCCUACGGGAGGCAGCAGUAGGGAAUCUUGGGCAAUGGGCGAAAGCCUGACGGAGCAACGCCGCGUGAGUGAUGAAGGUCUUCGGAUCGUAAAGCUCUGUUAUUAGGGAAGAACGUCUGUGUAAGUAAAUGUGCACGUCUUGACGGUACCUAAUGAGAAAGCAACGGCUAACUACGUG
Molecule: ribosomal RNA, 497 nt
Filed under: uncultured bacterium
Lineage: Bacteria
Description: partial 16S ribosomal RNA
Rfam family: Bacterial small subunit ribosomal RNA
Source: RNAcentral